This 516-nucleotide ribosomal RNA is filed under the name uncultured bacterium. Its description in RNAcentral is "bacterial SSU rRNA". It matches the Rfam family "Bacterial small subunit ribosomal RNA", at positions 28 to 509 of the family's 1533-position model. The record is from RNAcentral.
GAUGAACGCUGGCGGCGUGCCUAAUGCAUGCAAGUCGAGCGGCAACAGAUCCUUAUCUCUGAUAAGGGUGCUGGCGAAGCGGCAAAACGGGUGAGUAAUACAUGGGUAACCUACCCUGAAGAAGGGGAUACCCCACCGAAAGGUGGUUCAAUACCCUAUAAUCUUUAGAAAGGAAGCUUUUUAAAGUAAAGGUGGUAAGUCUACUUACUACCACUUCAGGAUGGGCUCAUGGCCUAUCAGCUAGUUGGUGAGUUAAAAGCUCACCAAGGCGAAGACGGGUAGCUGACCUGAGAGGGUGAUCAGCCACAUUGGGACUGAGACACGGCCCAAAACUCCUACGGGAGGCAGCAGCAGGGAAUAUUGGGCAAUGGGGGAAACCCUGACCCAGUGACGCCGCGUGCAGGAAGGAGCCCUUCGGGGUGUAAACUGCUGUCGUGUAGGGAGAAGGGUACUAAAGGUGAACAAUCUUAGUACUUGACGGUACUACAGGAGGAAGCCCAGGCUAAACCUCGUGCC